GCAACCAGUUAUUCCGCCCCCGGCUCCGCACCCGCGUCUCGGACGUUCCCGCAGCCAACGUUUAGGGCACCAGGCGCUGUGCUAGGCGCCGCGGUUAUAAAGAUAAUCGGUUUUGUUGAGCCCAGGAAUGUUCGGGUUAAUCUGUUUUCUCUAAUCAAACACUUAAUCAUCCAGUCUCCUCUCUGCGUUAUGGAUUCAUGAAUGUGAAGUGAGGAGAGUUGCUCAGUCAAGGUUUUUCACGUACUGCACAUCCAAGCUAGGUAAUGUCUCUGCAACUGCUGCUUCCUGAUGAUUAUAUUCAUCUGAAAUGACUAAGCUUGGUAAAUUAGGCUAAGUCAAGUCUGUGGAGCAGUCAAGGGACGAAUGAAGAAAAGAAUAAUGUAAUGGAGGCUACACCAGAGACAUGGGAAUCUAUCAGCAUGUGGCAAGGAAGGAAGAACAUAGCUAUGUCUUCUAUAUAAAGAGUUGCCUGCAUUCUUCUCAGAAAAAAAAAGACAAUGGAAAGGCAAUGAGUCAUGAGUCUUGGGUUCUAAGCCUGGUUCUACCAUUUGCUAGCUGUAUGAUAAGAAGCAUGUUUGUUAAACCUCUGAGCCUCAGCUUAUAUAUAUACGAAACAGGAAAAAUAGUAACAUAGCCUGCCAUCUUCACAGAUUUGUGAAAAGGUCUUUUAAAUAUCCAAAAAGCUUAGUAUGUAUAAGAAAGAUUAAAUUGGCUGGGCGCGGUGGCUCACGCCUGUAAUCCCAGCACUUUGGGAGGCCGAGGCGGGCGGAUCACAAGGUCAGGAGAUCGAGACCAUCUUGGCUAACACGGUGAAACCCCGUCUCUACUAAAAAUACAAAAAAUUAGCCGGGCGCGGUGGCGGGCGCCUGUAGUCCCAGCUACUCGGGAGGCUGAGGCAGGAGAAUGGCGUGAACCUGGGAGGCGGAGCUUGCAGUGAGCCGAGAUUGCGCCACUGCAAUCCGGCCUGGGCUAAACAGCGGGACUCCGUCUCAAAAAAAAAAAAAAAAAAAAAAAAAAGAAAGAUUAAAUUUAAGCUAUGGGUAUGACACAAAAAUAUACUUGAAAAUUAUUCUUAAAUUUCACCAUAUUUAGGAAGUGGCUAAAUAUCAACAUAAUAUUCCUACUUCUGCAUUUCCUAUUUCUCUCUUUGCAUUUUAAAUUCAGAGGAAGUUAUCUCAUUUAUUAAUUGUAACAUUUAAAUAGUAUACAUUUCUGUCAUUUAAAAGUGGUACUGACAAUGUAGUUAAACCUUUAUUAUCUUUUAUUGGUUUAAUAAAUAAAAGUGCAUGACUAAAAA
This 1297-nucleotide long non-coding RNA is filed under the name Homo sapiens (human). Its description in RNAcentral is "HSALNT0317128". Lineage: Eukaryota; Metazoa; Chordata; Mammalia; Primates; Hominidae. The record is from RNAcentral.